This 72-nucleotide transfer RNA is filed under the name Marmota monax (woodchuck). Its description in RNAcentral is "tRNA.Val". Lineage: Eukaryota; Metazoa; Chordata; Mammalia; Rodentia; Sciuridae. The record is from RNAcentral.
UUUUGGGGACUGGUUGGUAGAGUGCUUGCCUCACAUGCACAAGGCCAUGGGUUCAAUCCCCAGCACCAAAAA